RNAcentral lists this ribosomal RNA (353 nucleotides) under uncultured bacterium. RNAcentral describes it as "bacterial SSU rRNA". It matches the Rfam family "Bacterial small subunit ribosomal RNA", at positions 335 to 679 of the family's 1533-position model. The record is from RNAcentral.
ACUCCUACGGGAGGCAGCAGUGGGGAAUAUUGCACAAUGGGGGAAACCCUGAUGCAGCCAUGCCGCGUGUGUGAAGAAGGCCUUCGGGUUGUAAAGCACUUUCAGUAGGGAGGAAGGUAGUGUAGUUAACACCUGCAUUAUUUGUACGUUACCUACAGAAGAAGCACCGGCUAACUCCGUGCCAGCAGCCGCGGUAAUACGGAGGGUGCGAGCGUUAAUCGGAAUUACGUGGGCGUAAAGCGCAUGCAGGCGGCCUGUUAAGUCAGAUGUGAAAGCCCGGGGCUUAACCUCGGAAUUGCAUUUGAAACUGGCAGGCUAGAGUCUUGUAGAGGGGUUAGAAUUUCAGGUGUAGC